Molecule: long non-coding RNA, 496 nt
Organism: Paramacrobiotus metropolitanus
Lineage: Eukaryota; Metazoa; Tardigrada; Eutardigrada; Parachela; Macrobiotidae
Exons: 2
Source: RefSeq, a predicted model, not a curated record
UCCGCUACUGUAUUUAUAUUAUACAGGUGGCAAUAUCGUUUGCACAACACUGGACCAGAUAUCACAUCACCAUGUGGAAACUGAUCGUACUUGUUGCCAUUUUAGUAGCUACCGUUCACGCCGGUCCCGCCGGGAGACUGGAUGCGACUGGGGCGAAUAUAAGUCCGGGAUUCAUUAACGGAAAUUUGGUUCCACCUCCGCCUAAUUUACCUUUCACUGGGUGCGGAAAUCAGAUCAGCGUGUUUGGCAUACGGCCGGUUUUUGGGGUCAACUGCAAUAGCGAAAAUGAACAGCUGCGUGUUCGACCAGCUCUUUAGCAGGGGAUGGGACGACUCCUGUACUUCCUGACGUGUAUGAUAAGCACCAGUGUUUCGGCUGCUGGGGAUUCUUAUUUGCUUUUCCUGUUCAGCUGGCAGUUACUAAAGGGACGAGGCGUGGCGGCGGCGGUGCCAUCGCAAAAUCCAGCUCGGAACUGGAGUAAAUUUUUUGUUGUUUU